Vulpes vulpes (red fox) is the source of this 104-nucleotide small nuclear RNA. Lineage: Eukaryota; Metazoa; Chordata; Mammalia; Carnivora; Canidae. The record is from Ensembl.
GUGCUCACUUCGACAGCACAUAAACUAAAAUUGGAAUGAUACAGAGAUUAGCAUGGCGCAUGCGCAAGAAUGAUUGGCAAAUUCGUGAAGUGUUCCAUAUUUUU